GCUGGGCAUGGUGGUGCACGCCUGUAAUCCCAGAUUCUCAGGAGGCUGAGGCAGGAGGAUCACAAGUUCAAAGCCAGCCUCAGCAAUGGCGAGGUGCUUAGCAACUCAGUGAGACCCUGUCUCUA
RNAcentral lists this small RNA (125 nucleotides) under Marmota monax (woodchuck). Lineage: Eukaryota; Metazoa; Chordata; Mammalia; Rodentia; Sciuridae. The record is from RNAcentral.